AUAAAUGUUAAUGAGAACAUUAAUAAUAACGACAAUGAAGUUGACUCAGAUGACGAAUCUGAAACUGGGCCCAUCCGCCUUUAUGGCUAUGGCUGGGUGGAAAGUAACGAAACAGUUAUUAUGGUUAUAAGUGGCCACCUCAGGAUCUUUUACAAACUAUAUUCGAUAUAAAAGUCGAAUUUUCCGUCAGUAAGGUGUUCAUUCUUCUCGAGAUGUUUUCAUCGCCGAUCUCCAUGGCUCCAAUGUCGGCAAAACCAGUCCCUGGUAUAUUCUUUCUUCAGGUGCCUGUUGUAAUUAUCAUAUAUCAUCUUCGUCAAGAUAUUCUUCAUCGAUUCUCUUCAGUUUUGAUCGCGCCAAAACGGCUUACAUUGACGUAGAUCGUGCUGAACUAAGGAAUGAUGAAGAUGCAUAUCCAGCGGCGGCUGCUGGCGAUUUUAUCUAUAAUUCUCAAAUUUGCCUGGCGUGUUCAGACGAGGAAUCACCACCGGACGUCGUCUACAACCCUUGUCGGCACUGCAUCUUCUGCCAAGCAUGUCCAAAGACAGUACGUGCAAACUCUGCUUGGAGAUGGGCAAAUUUUAACUUGUAGUUACUGCCGACAAGAGGUUGUCUCAGUUGACUUGAUUAUUUAAAAAAAUAUUAAUCCUCAUUAAAUUUUUAUUUAAUAUUACUUUUAAACAAAUUUAAAAUAUAAUUA
Molecule: long non-coding RNA, 697 nt
Organism: Cotesia glomerata
Lineage: Eukaryota; Metazoa; Arthropoda; Insecta; Hymenoptera; Braconidae
Exons: 4
Source: RefSeq, a predicted model, not a curated record